This 122-nucleotide ribosomal RNA is filed under the name Sphingobacterium arenae. Its description in RNAcentral is "partial 16S ribosomal RNA". It matches the Rfam family "Bacterial small subunit ribosomal RNA", at positions 1 to 111 of the family's 1533-position model. The record is from RNAcentral. Lineage: Bacteria; Pseudomonadati; Bacteroidota; Sphingobacteriia; Sphingobacteriales; Sphingobacteriaceae.
UUUUACAAUGGAGAGUUUGAUCCUGGCUCAGGAUGAACGCUAGCGGCAGGCCUAAUACAUGCAAGUCGGACGGGAUUCCGUUAUAGCUUGCUAUAACGGAUGAGAGUGGCGCACGGGUGCGU